CAUUCAGGGAAAACUGAGCAUGUUCUCUUGUUAAAGGUACAACUCGAGUUGGAGCCUGGGUUUUUGCAGUAGUAGGGGGCGUGGGAAUGGUAGUUGUUGGCAUUGUAAUCUACAUCAUUGACAACRGUUUCAGACUCUUCUAAUCUAGUCAAGCUCUUGAGUUGUGCUUGUGUGCAACACUAAAAAUAAAAUWCUGCAACCCGA
This is a non-coding RNA of Poecilia reticulata (guppy), 204 nucleotides long. The record is from RefSeq and is a predicted model, not a curated record. NCBI's taxonomy places the organism in Eukaryota, Metazoa, Chordata, Actinopteri, Cyprinodontiformes, Poeciliidae.